UUCACUAUAUUCACAGUAUAAGAACUGUAUUGUGUCUCAUUAGGCUUAUUAAUCAUUGUUAGGACGAGGGUUCGAAUCCCUCAUGCUCCACAAAACCGCCAGCUCACGCGGUAUAUAAGACAGGAUUGCCGGACCCGCAGGUGUAACGAGAUAAAUACCUGCAUAUGGGGCAUUUUUGGUUUUGACUAGCAAUUAGAAAGAUAAGAUAGGUUCGUUGUGUGUUUAAAUGGCAACUAUGAUGUUGUUACAGACUAUACCGGCUUAGUAGCUGCGUAAAGUCUGCGUGCUAACUACGAAAGUGAGGGAGAUAAUAUAGUUUAAUGGUAGAAUGAUGCUUAUGCAUAGAUCUGGGUUCAAAUCCCAGUAU
RNAcentral lists this transfer-messenger RNA (367 nucleotides) under uncultured phage cr77_1. RNAcentral describes it as "transfer-messenger RNA, SsrA". The stretch from base 307 to 367 matches the Rfam family "tRNA". The record is from RNAcentral. Lineage: Duplodnaviria; Heunggongvirae; Uroviricota; Caudoviricetes; Crassvirales; Suoliviridae.